GAAGGGACCUAGCGUAGUUCGGAAUUACUGGGCUUAAAGAGUUCGUAGGUGGUUAAAAAAGUUGGUGGUGAAAUCCCAGAGCUUAACUCUGGAACUGCCAUCAAAACUUUUUAGCUAGAGUAUGAUAGAGGAAAGCGGAAUUUCUAGUGUAGAGGUGAAAUUCGUAGAUAUUAGAAAGAAUACCGAUUGCGAAGGCAGCUUUCUGGAUCAUUACUGACACUGAGGAACGAAAGCAUGGGUAGCGAAGAGGAUUAGAUACCCUCGUAGUCCAUGCCGUAAACGAUGUGUGUUAGACGUUGGAAAUUUAUUUUCAGUGUCGCAGCGAAAGCGAUAAACACACCGCCUGGGGAGUACGACCGCAAGGUUAAAACUCAAAUGAAUUGACGGGGACCCGCACAAGUAGUGGAGCAUGUGGUUUAAUUCGAAGAUACGCGCAGAACCUUACCAACACUUGACAUGUUCGUCGCGACUCUAAGAGAUUAGAGUUUUCGGUUCGGCCGGACGAAACACAGGUGCUGCAUGGCUGUCGUCAGCUCGUGUCGUGAGAUGUUGGGUUAAGUCCCGCAACGAGCGCAACCCUUACUUUUAGUUGCCAUCAUUUAGUUGGGCACUCUGAAAGAACUGCCAGUGAUAAGCUGGAGGAAGGUGGGGAUGACGUCAAGUCCUCAUGGCCCUUAUGUGUUGGGCUACACACGUGCUACAAUGGUAUCUACAACAGGAAGCAAGAUGGCAACGUUAAGCAAAUCCCAAAAAGAUACCUCAGUUCGGAUUGCACUCUGCAACUCGAGUGCAUGAAGCUGGAAUUACUAGUAAUCGUGGAUCAGCGUGCCACGGUGAAUACGUUCCCGGGUCUU
This 854-nucleotide ribosomal RNA is filed under the name uncultured organism. RNAcentral's name for it is "bacterial SSU rRNA". It matches the Rfam family "Bacterial small subunit ribosomal RNA", at positions 527 to 1382 of the family's 1533-position model. The record is from RNAcentral.